AUUUUUUGUUGUUUUUAUGAAUUUGAUUUCGUUUACGUUGACGCAAAACUGAUUUGUUUUUGUUGUUUAAUUCGGUAUGCACCUUAAUACUUGAUAUAAUGAAAAACUGUUCUAUUUACCUGCUGUUACAAUGUGGUAUAAAUAGUAUUCAGCUAGUUUCGGUUUUUUGAAAAUUUUUUAGUAAUUACAAAAGAAAAGGUUGUCUUUUGUUCUUUUUUUUUUUUUUUAUAUUGUUUCUGAAAUUUGUUAAGACUUGUCGUUUACAGCGCUUAGAAGUUACAGUUUACAUAAGUUCAGUUGUUUAGGGAUUUGUAUUGUUUUUAUUUUUCUCUUCAUUCUAUUUUCUGAUUUUACUUUCGUCUUGCCAACAAUUUUGAUUACUAUAUACGUGUGUGUAUGUGUUACUGUGUGUGUGUGUGUUUGGAAGUGUGUGUUAUGCAACAAGCUGGCAAUUAAUAUCCAGAUAUAUAUAGAUAUAUGUGCGAAGUUUUGGACUAUGACAAGGCAAAAAUUUACAAUCAAAAUUAUGUUGCCUACUUUCAGACUGAACUUAGUUGAAAAUAUUUUACCUACGUCUCGGCUCAACCAAAAUGUACUUAAAUUAAUCU
This is a long non-coding RNA of Drosophila arizonae, 608 nucleotides long. The record is from RefSeq and is a predicted model, not a curated record. Lineage: Eukaryota; Metazoa; Arthropoda; Insecta; Diptera; Drosophilidae.